GAGCUAAAUAUAAUGAUAAUAUAUAGUUAUUAGAUUUGGUGUAGCAAAACCAUACCCAAAAUUAUAUUUAGGGGUGACAGGCCUCUCAAAAACUAGGAUAUCUUGAUUCCAAUAAAAUGUAUUUAGUACAGAUAAUACAUUUAUUAAGUGUUUAGGCUUAAUAACAAUAUUAAUUUAUACUCUACGUAUUAUUACGUUUUAAUAAAUAAAUAUAUUACAACCAUAAUAUUCUUCUAUGAAUGCUAUAGUUAGUAAUUGGAUACAACAAAAUAAUAUAUAUUGUGGAUAAUGUUGGUAUUAGUAUUAUAUGUAAGUUUUUAUAAGGAACUCGGCAAAAGUGUUUCUCAACUGUUUAUCAAAAACAUAACUAUGUGUAUAUAUUCGUAGCGGUUUCUGCUCAAUGAUUUAUUAAAUAGCCGCAGUAUACUGACUGUGCAAAGGUAGCAUAAUCAAUUGACUUGUAAUUGAAGUCUGGAAUGAAGGAAAGUAUGGGGAGCCACUGUCUCAAAAAAAUACGGAGAAUUUAUUUAUGAAGUGAAAAUCCUUCUACAUAACAUAAGGGACGAGAAGACCCUAGAAAAUUUUAGUAAUAUUAGAUGUAUCUCUAGUAAUUUUUCGCUGGGGCGGCGGAGUAACAUUGAACUUACUUAUAUCAACAUGCGCCUUGUUUGGCAAUUGAUAAAUUUACUCUAGGGAUAACAGCAUAAUAUUUAAAAGUUUGUGACCUCGAUGUUGGACUAGGACAUAAUAACCUAAAAGGUUUUUUAUAGUGCUCUGUUCGAGCAUAAACUCCUACAUGAUCUGAGU
RNAcentral lists this ribosomal RNA (807 nucleotides) under Euhadra quaesita. RNAcentral describes it as "partial 16S ribosomal RNA". The record is from RNAcentral. Lineage: Eukaryota; Metazoa; Mollusca; Gastropoda; Stylommatophora; Camaenidae.